Molecule: ribosomal RNA, 453 nt
Filed under: uncultured Paraprevotella sp.
Lineage: Bacteria; Pseudomonadati; Bacteroidota; Bacteroidia; Bacteroidales; Prevotellaceae
Description: partial 16S ribosomal RNA
Rfam family: Bacterial small subunit ribosomal RNA
Source: RNAcentral
ACGGGAGGCAGCAGUGAGGAAUAUUGGUCAAUGGGCGUAAGCCUGAACCAGCCAAGUAGCGUGAGGGAUGACUGCCCUACGGGUUGUAAACCUCUUUUGUUUGGGAAUAGAUGAGACUACGUGUAGUCUUUUGCAUGUACCUUUCGAAUAAGCAUCGGCUAAUUCCGUGCCAGCAGCCGCGGUAAUACGGAAGAUGCGAGCGUUAUCCGGAUUUAUUGGGUUUAAAGGGAGCGUAGGCGGUCCUUUAAGUCAGCGGUCAAAUGUCAGCGCCCAACGCUGGCCUGCCGUUGAUACUGGAGGACUUGAAUACACACAAGGAAGGUGGAAUUCGUCGUGUAGCGGUGAAAUGCUUAGAUAUGACGAAGAACUCCGAUUGCGAAGGCAGCCUUCUGGAGUGCGAUUGACGCUGAGGCUCGAAAGCGCGGGUAUCAAACAGGAUUAGAUACCCUGGUA